This 63-nucleotide transfer RNA is filed under the name Ammianus toi. Its description in RNAcentral is "tRNA-Ala". Lineage: Eukaryota; Metazoa; Arthropoda; Insecta; Hemiptera; Tingidae. The record is from RNAcentral.
GAGAUUAUAGUUAAUAAUAACAUUUAAUUUGCAAUUAAAAAUUAUCUAAAUAGAUUAAUCUCA